CGGACGGGUGAGUAACGCGUGAGAAUCUGGCUUCAGGUCUGGGACAACCACUGGAAACGGUGGCUAAUACCGGAUGUGCCGAGAGGUGAAAGGUUAACUGCCUGAAGAUGAGCUCGCGUCUGAUUAGCUAGUUGGAAGUGUAACGGACUCCCAAGGCGACGACCAGUAGCUGGUCUGAGAGGACGAUCAGCCACACUGGGACUGAGACACGGCCCAGACUCCUACGGGAGGCAGCAGUGGGGAAUUUUCCGCAAUGGGCGAAAGCCUGACGGAGCAAUACCGCGUGAGGGAGGAAGGCUCUUGGGUCGUAAACCUCUUUUCUCAGGGAAGAACACAAUGACGGUACCUGAGGAAUAAGCAUCGGCUAACUCCGUGCCAGCAGCCGCGGUAAUACGGAGGAUGCAAGCGUUAUCCGGAAUGAUUGGGCGUAAAGCGUCCACAGGUGGCAAUGUAAGUCUGCUGUUAAAGAGUCUAGCUCAACUAGAUAAGAGCAGUGGAAACUACAUAGCUAGAGUACGUUCGGGGCAGAGGGAAUUCCUGGUGUAGCGGUGAAAUGCGUAGAGAUCAGGAAGAACACCGGUGGCGAAGGCGCUCUGCUAGGCCGUAACUGACACUGAGGGACGAAAGCUAGGGGAGCGAAUGGGAUUAGAUACCCCAGUAGUC
RNAcentral lists this ribosomal RNA (663 nucleotides) under uncultured cyanobacterium. RNAcentral describes it as "bacterial SSU rRNA". It matches the Rfam family "Bacterial small subunit ribosomal RNA", at positions 99 to 795 of the family's 1533-position model. Lineage: Bacteria; Bacillati; Cyanobacteriota. The record is from RNAcentral.